RNAcentral lists this ribosomal RNA (501 nucleotides) under Veillonella dispar. Its description in RNAcentral is "bacterial SSU rRNA". It matches the Rfam family "Bacterial small subunit ribosomal RNA", at positions 28 to 498 of the family's 1533-position model. Lineage: Bacteria; Bacillati; Bacillota; Negativicutes; Veillonellales; Veillonellaceae. The record is from RNAcentral.
GACGAACGCUGGCGGCGUGCUUAACACAUGCAAGUCGAACGAAGAGCGAUGGAAGCUUGCUUCUAUCAAUCUUAGUGGCGAACGGGUGAGUAACGCGUAAUCAACCUGCCCUUCAGAGGGGGACAACAGUUGGAAACGACUGCUAAUACCGCAUACGAUCUAAUCUCGGCAUCGAGGAUAGAUGAAAGGUGGCCUCUAUUUAUAAGCUAUCACUGAAGGAGGGGAUUGCGUCUGAUUAGCUAGUUGGAGGGGUAACGGCCCACCAAGGCGAUGAUCAGUAGCCGGUCUGAGAGGAUGAACGGCCACAUUGGGACUGAGACACGGCCCAGACUCCUACGGGUGGCAGCAGUGGGGAAUCUUCCGCAAUGGACGAAAGUCUGACGGAGCAACGCCGCGUGAGUGAUGACGGCCUUCGGGUUGUAAAGCUCUGUUAAUCGGGACGAAAGGCCUUCUUGCGAAUAGUGAGAAGGAUUGACGGUACCGGAAUAGAAAGCCACGGUA